Molecule: long non-coding RNA, 2003 nt
Filed under: Nicotiana tabacum (common tobacco)
Lineage: Eukaryota; Viridiplantae; Streptophyta; Magnoliopsida; Solanales; Solanaceae
Description: long non-coding RNA (NTAB_LNC006486)
Source: RNAcentral
GAAACAAUCACAUAUGCUCAGUUAAAUUUUUUCAAUAUUGACAGUAUCCAAACCAACAAUUUAAAUCUUUGGUGCUACAUCAGCAAAUCAAUCUUAUUUCCAAACAACACUAUUAUGUUUCAACACCCUACAGAACCCUCUAACAGCAUAUCAAACAUUAAUCACUUUCCUUUUAGCCUUGUUAGCACCAAUUCAAAUAUGGGAAUACUACCAAGCAUACCUACUUACUUCAUCUAAGGCUCAAACACAUUUGAAACAUACUAACUUGAUUGAGUCCUUUACAUAACACUCUAACAGUCUCAAACCAAAUACAGUUAUAGGAACUUCACCAUUCAAACGGAACCCAGCUAGAAUACACAAUGAUUCAUGUGAUCUAUGGCACAAACAAUAAAAUGUAAAUAAAACUCAGAUAAGUCUGCUUCCAUCCCUUAAACUCUCAUUUCCAUCUUUAAACUGAAACUUACAUCAAGUAAAGUUCAGAAAAAUGUACCUGGAAUUCAAAUCAAAACAGAAAAAUGAGGAAUUCAGCAAUAAACAGUAACAGCCAGCCCAGAUUCAGCAAUUAAAACAGUGAAAAUCCACUCAGAAGAAUCAAUAGAACAGUAAACCAUUCAGCAAACUUAAACCAGCUCUUUCAAUACCCAAGUUCAGUCCAUUUUUACCCUAGAUGAGUCAAAAAUUAUUUCAGAAAUUGAUGACUUCAAGAAUCACAAAGGAAAACUGAAUGAAACAGUGAUUUUUAUGAGAUUUUUCAGUCGUUUUUUUUCUCAUUUUCUGUCUCUCAGCUCUCUUGGGUCUGCCUUUCAAUGCAAGAAAAGGUGCCUUUAUGGGCAAGCCAAUAAGGCAACCUUUCAGAUUUUAGUUUUACCCUUUAACCCCUUUUCAAAUUUGCUUUUAGCUUAGAGAUCCCUAGCCAGUUUUUGUUUUUGCUUAACUACCCUCAGCUCAAAUAUCAGAGUUUCAAAACAGCCCCCUCCCCAGCUUCCUUUAAGACCCCUGUUAUUUACAAGUAACCCAUAUGGGUAUGGAUCAAACUGACCCUGGGCUGAAUUUACUCAAGACCCAACCCAGAACAUUAGCCUGAACCUAAAGGCAUGAAACCCCAGGCCCAAAUACAAUCUAGACUCUGAAUCUACCAAGAGCAGAAAGUAAACACUUAUGUGAAAACUAAAAGUUUUAACUGCGCGACUGACGAACUACAAGAACAAGCAAAAAGUGAAUUAGAUUAUUAAAAAGAGACGGCCUAACUAUAUUAACUUAGGAGACUAAAUCAAGAGCAAAAACAAAGGCUCAAGCAUAUUGUUGAUAGAAAAUCGACAAAUGGACCUCUAAACCUUGACAAGAAAUACGAACACAAAAUUUAAUGCCAUUCAGAACCUUGUUCGAAUCAGCCUACUUCAAUAAAGAUGAGAAAAAGAAAAAGAAGGAGAGUAGGACAUGAAUCAAAACGGACACGAGAGGAAAAAAAUAAAGAAAGCUUACCGAUUACAACUCGACCCCAACGCUUGACUUCCUGACUUAACACAAUCAGUGUUAGUCGAAUUAGACUCGAAAAUCUUGCGACUUCGGACGCCUGCGGUCAUGCAAGCCACAGAAUCGUAAACGAAAACGAUUUGGCUUCUUAGGGAUUCGAACUCUGUCCUUAGAUCCAAGAUUCGACGGAUUUGGGAGGGAUUCGAGGGAUAUGGGUUAGAGAUUUUGAAAGAGGGGGUCGUAGGGGUUUCAAGGUAUUAGUUUGGAGGGAUUUGGGAGAAGUUAGGUUUUGGUCUAACUUUCGAUUAAAGAUUCGUGAGGCUGGGCUGGGAUUCGAGAGUGGGGAUUUGGAGAGUUGGAAAGAGGAGAAGGAGAAGAAUCGAUGGUGUAAAAAUGGGGUUAAUCGGAGCAACGCCACUGGCAGAGGCGAUUUCCGGCAGGCGGCUCACGGCGGUUCGAAGUGGCGUUUGGUUGAGGUCUCUAAGGGUUUGAGGGAGAUGAGAGACGAGACGGGGGGUAGGGGGCUGUUA